RNAcentral lists this ribosomal RNA (125 nucleotides) under Pelobates cultripes (western spadefoot toad). RNAcentral's name for it is "SSU_rRNA_eukarya". Lineage: Eukaryota; Metazoa; Chordata; Amphibia; Anura; Pelobatidae. The record is from RNAcentral.
AUAACAAUACAGGACUCUUUCCAGGUCCUGUAAUUGGAAUGAGUCCACUUUAAAUCCUUUAACGAGGAUCUAUUGGAGGGCAAGUCUGGUGAAGAGCGACUAACCCGUGCGUGCUGCAGCUGAAA